Molecule: transfer RNA, 90 nt
Filed under: Botrimarina colliarenosi
Lineage: Bacteria; Pseudomonadati; Planctomycetota; Planctomycetia; Pirellulales; Lacipirellulaceae
Description: Planctomycetes bacterium Pla108 tRNA-Arg
Source: RNAcentral
UCGGCGCGUGCCCGGGUAGGCGGCUUCGAUCUCCUUGUUCGGGAAGUAGUAGUACUCGAGACUGCCGACGAUCGCCUCGUCGGUGUCGGC